GGACCCGCACAAGUAGUGGAGCAUGUGGUUUAAUUCGAAGAUACGCGCAGAACCUUACCAACACUUGACAUGUUCGUCGCGACUUUAAGAGAUUAAAGUUUUCGGUUCGGCCGGACGAAACACAGGUGCUGCAUGGCUGUCGUCAGCUCGUGUCGUGAGAUGUUGGUUAAGUCCCGCAACGAUGCGCAACCCUCACUUUUAGUUGCCAUCAUUAAGUUGGGCACUCUGAAAGAACUGCCAGUGAUAAGCUGGAGGAAGGUGGGGAUGACGUCAAGUCCUCGAUGGCCCUUACGUGUUGGGCUACACACGUGCUACAAUGGUAUCUACAACAGGAAGCAAAACAAGCGAUGAUUAAGCAAAAA
This 362-nucleotide ribosomal RNA is filed under the name uncultured bacterium. Its description in RNAcentral is "bacterial SSU rRNA". It matches the Rfam family "Bacterial small subunit ribosomal RNA", at positions 917 to 1273 of the family's 1533-position model. The record is from RNAcentral.